AUUUUAUUGUUACCAUCUUCCCAAUUUUGCAUAUAAGGAAACUGGAGUGUUCAGAAAAGUUAAGAAACUUUCUCAAGUUCUCUUAUAAAGGGUUGAGAUAGAUUUUGGCCCCAGGCUUUUUGACUCCCUGCUUUUUCCACCACAUCAGUAGUAUGGUUCCAGUCUCAGGGGUUAAUGGUGAAAACUGAGUGAGAUAAUGGCAGUGAAAUCGCUUUGGAGCAUGUAAAAUGCUAUCCAGAUGUUAGAUUUAAAAAAAGUAUUUAUCAACAAUAUGCAAUAUUCUCUACAGGGUACAAAUCCUAAGUAAGAUCAACCCCUGGAAGGAGAAAAAAAAAAAGAGAAACGAAGGAUGGCUUAUACAAAACAAAUUCAGCAGACGAAACAAUUAGAAUGUGACCGAUGUGUCUGUCCAUAUCAUCCCUCUACCUAUCAUAGCUGGCACAUAAGUAGUACAGAAGCUAAUACAAUGCACGCUGAAAGCCACGUUGGUAAGUGUGACAAGAGUUCAGAGAAGAGUGAGAACACAUUAGGCUUUGUUGGCCAGAAGGGCUUCAAGGAAGAGAUGAAACUAAUGCUGAGCUUUGAAGGAUGCUGUGACCAGUAGCAUUGGUUGCUUACUCUGUCAUCCAUGCUUCCUUUCCUCUUCAGUAACAGAAUGCCUGGUUGAAUGACAUGGUUACCAUCCUCCCUUGCAGCUAGGUGUGACUAAGUUUGGCUAAGGAUAUGUAAAUAGGUAUGUUACAUAUUAAUUCCAGGAAAUGGAAAGAAAUGUAUGGUUCUCCAUCCCUUCCUCCAUCUUGCUGCUUGGAACUUGGGCAUGAUAGCUGGAAUUCUAGCAACCACUCGGACCCAGAGGGUGAGGAACACGCUAUAGUAAUGGCAGAGGAGAGAGCUGGUUGGGGCGUGGGUUCCUGCUCAUUCUGAAAUUGCCGUGCCAGCCCUGGGCUACCUACCUGAGGAACUUUCUUAUGUGAAAGAAAAAUAAUGUCCAAUCAUUCAGCUAUUGUUAUUUUAGGUCACAUGCAGGCAAGACACUGAUACAGAUGGGAGGACUUAAAUUUGCUAAGUGAGGGUUUACUAAACUGAG
This 1087-nucleotide long non-coding RNA is filed under the name Equus caballus (horse). RNAcentral's name for it is "lncRNA (ENSECAG00000054416.1)". The record is from RNAcentral. Lineage: Eukaryota; Metazoa; Chordata; Mammalia; Perissodactyla; Equidae.